This 301-nucleotide ribosomal RNA is filed under the name uncultured bacterium. RNAcentral describes it as "bacterial SSU rRNA". It matches the Rfam family "Bacterial small subunit ribosomal RNA", at positions 338 to 637 of the family's 1533-position model. The record is from RNAcentral.
CCUACGGGGGGCAGCAGUGAGGAAUAUUGGUCAAUGGUCGGGAGCCUGAACCAGCCAAGUCGCGUGAGGGAUGACGGCCCUAUGGGUCGUAAACCUCUUUUGCCGGGGAGCAAAGGGCCGCACGUGUGCGGUUUGGAGAGUACCCGGAGAAAAAGCAUCGGCUAACUCCGUGCCAGCAGCCGCGGUAAUACGGAGGAUGCGAGCGUUAUCCGGAUUUAUUGGGUUUAAAGGGUGCGCAGGCGGUCUGUUAAGUCAGCGGUCAAAGCCCGGGGCUCAACCCCGGCCCGCCGUUGAAACUGGC